Puntigrus tetrazona (Sumatra barb) is the source of this 443-nucleotide long non-coding RNA. RefSeq lists it as uncharacterized. NCBI's taxonomy places the organism in Eukaryota, Metazoa, Chordata, Actinopteri, Cypriniformes, Cyprinidae. The record is from RefSeq and is a predicted model, not a curated record. The transcript is spliced from 3 exons.
CAGAGGUGAGUGUCUCCGGUCAGUUUAAUAAUGACCACAGCUCUUCCUCAUACAGUCUGCUUUUUAUCUGCAGGUGAAAUUAUUAAAGACCAGACCAUUUAUUUAGACCAGAACACUGCCUUUCUUCUUCUCUGAAAUGCAGCAAACUGAUAAAACAGCAUCUAAAAUCUUAGAAAUUUCAAAGGGCUGUGCAGAAUGACAAUAUAUACUGUGACAUUCAAUAUAAUUUUCAGUGAUUUCAGAGGAAAAGGAGGUAAAUGAAAAUGAAGUGAAGUCUGAUGGAAAUCAUCUGAAUGUAUGAAGACUGAAAUCAUCAACACAGAAAUGAAGAAAUGAGCCGUGUACUCACAAAUAUCAUAUAGCUUUUAGAAAAUAUAGUUUAUCACAGCAUUUCUCUAACCACUGUAUGUGCUGCUUUAUGUAAUAAAUAACACUAAAAUAGA